GACGAACGCUGGCGGCGGGCUUAACACAUGCAAGUCGAACGGAAAGGCCCUGCUUGUGUGGGGUGCUCGAGUGGCGAACGGGUGAGUAACACGUGAGUAACCUGCUCUUGACUUUGGGAUAACUUCAGGAAACUGGGGCUAAUACCGGAUAGGAGCUGCUGCUGCAUGGUGGGGGUUGGAAAUUUUCGGCGGUUGGGGAUGGACUCGCGGCUGAUCAGCUUGUUGGUGGGGGAGUGGCUUACCAAGGCUUUGACGGGUAGCCGGCCUGAGAGGGUGACCGGCCACAUUGGGCCUGAGAUACGGCCCAGACUCCUACGGGAGGCAGCAGUGGGGAAUAUUGCACAAUGGGCGGAAGCCUGAUGCAGCAACGCCGCGUGCGGGAUGACGGCCUUCGGGUUGUAAACCGCUUUCGCCUGUGACGAAGCGUGAGUGACGGUAAUGGGUAAAGAAGCACCGGCUAACUACGUG
Molecule: ribosomal RNA, 468 nt
Filed under: uncultured bacterium
Lineage: Bacteria
Description: partial 16S ribosomal RNA
Rfam family: Bacterial small subunit ribosomal RNA
Source: RNAcentral